AUGUGCAAGUUUCCUAUUACAUAUAUACUGCAAGGUGCAAACAACUUGAUGCUCAUGCUUGCUGUUACAUUUAUACUGCAAGGUGCACCUGCAAUCAACAAAGACGAGCUUGCACAAGGUCAGAAAGGGAUUUCCAUUGCCAACUAUAAAAGAUUACAAGGUAAUAUCACUCCUAAUUCUACCACUAAAUCCUAUUCUAAGCCAUGGCGACUUGGGGCGACUAAUCAAGCCAAGUCGCUGACUCAAGCCAGCAAGCCACUAGCCACAGCCUCGGCGACUUGGCUUGACUCGGCGACUCAAAAAUAG
This 306-nucleotide ribosomal RNA is filed under the name Triticum aestivum (bread wheat). RNAcentral describes it as "partial small subunit ribosomal RNA". Lineage: Eukaryota; Viridiplantae; Streptophyta; Magnoliopsida; Poales; Poaceae. The record is from RNAcentral.